Molecule: non-coding RNA, 45 nt
Filed under: Schistosoma curassoni
Lineage: Eukaryota; Metazoa; Platyhelminthes; Trematoda; Strigeidida; Schistosomatidae
Source: RNAcentral
ACCCAGCUGAUGAGUCCUGAAAGGGACGAAACUUGGGUCUUGGAU